RNAcentral lists this ribosomal RNA (253 nucleotides) under uncultured bacterium. RNAcentral's name for it is "partial 16S ribosomal RNA". It matches the Rfam family "Bacterial small subunit ribosomal RNA", at positions 524 to 776 of the family's 1533-position model. The record is from RNAcentral.
UACAGAGGUCUCAAGCGUUGUUCGGAUUCAUUGGGCGUGAAGGGUGCGUAGGUGGCGCUGUAAGUCGGGUGUGAAAUUUCGGAGCUUAACUCCGAAACUGCAUUCGAUACUGCGGUGCUUGAGGACUGGAGAGGAGACUGGAAUUCAUGGUGUAGCAGUGAAAUGCGUAGAGAUCAUGAGGAAGACCAGUGGCGAAGGCGGGUCUCUGGACAGUUCCUGACACUGAGGCACGAAGGCCACGGGAGCAAACGGG